Perca flavescens (yellow perch) is the source of this 682-nucleotide long non-coding RNA. RefSeq lists it as uncharacterized. NCBI's taxonomy places the organism in Eukaryota, Metazoa, Chordata, Actinopteri, Perciformes, Percidae. The transcript is spliced from 3 exons. The record is from RefSeq and is a predicted model, not a curated record.
CACAUCACCCUUCAGGUUGAUAAGGCAAACAUGUUAGCAAACUGCUGCCUAUUUGCACAUCCAGCUGACACGGAGCAUCACAAGCAUUCAUUUGGAAGUUGCGUUUCUUGCCACAAGUCAAAUAUUCACUUUCACUUUUUAGCUAGUUUUAAGUCUCCAACAACUUCUGAAGAAAACAAAUCUGACUGAGCUGCUAAAUGCUAUUCUGCUAUGUUGACAUGCUAGUGGCUAACUGUGUCUGUCUGCCGUUUCCUGCUGGCCAGCUUGUCUUCAGGUGAAGAGGACAUGAUGUGCCAUGAAGACUGUUGGCUGUGACUAAACCUCAGAAGACCGAACACAGAGGAUGCUUCAGGAGUUGAUGCGGAGACCUGCAACACCGGGAAACUGAACGCUGCUGACCACGUUCACCUGACACGAGGAAGUGUUUCAGAAAACACAGUGUGCAGAUAAAACAUACACCAUCAUCAUACUUCCUUCUAUUUAACCAAACAAAAAAAUUUUCCAUUACUAUUCUCCUUGACCAGCCUCUGCUUGGUGCUUAGUCAUAGUAUCACCAAAUGAACUACAGAAGAAUUUGCUGGUUAGAUUACUAAUUUAACCUGGAAUAUGUAAAGCAGUUAAGUGGUGGAAGAAGCAUUCAGAUGCUUUAUUCAAGAAAAAGUGGCAAGAAACUCUAUUACAA